AGCAGCCGCGGUAAUUCCAGCUCCAAUAGCGUAUAUUAAAGUUGUUGCAGUUAAAAAGCUCGUAGUUGAACUUCAGGCCUGGCUGGGCGGUCCGCCUUCCGGGUGAGUACUGCCUGUGGUCGGGUCCUACCUUCUGGCGAAGCGUCAUGGCCUUAACCGGCCGUGGCGGGGAACCAGGACUUUUUACUGUGAAAAAAUUAGAGUGUUCAAAGCAGGCACGCGCUUGAAUACAUUAGCAUGGAAUAAUGGAAUAGGACAGUGGUUCUAUUUGUUGGUUUUCUAGGACCGUUGUAAUGAUUAAUAGGGAUAGCUGGGGGCAUUAGUAUUCAAUUGUCAGAGGUGAAAUUCUUGGAUUUAUUGAAGACUAACUACUGCGAAAGCAUUUGCCAAGGAUGUUUUCAUUAAUCAAGAACGAAAGUUAGGGAUCGAAGACGAUCAGAUACCGUCGUAGUACUUAACCAUAAACUNUAGCCGACUAGGAUCGGGCGAUGUAGAC
Molecule: ribosomal RNA, 496 nt
Filed under: uncultured Paraglomus
Lineage: Eukaryota; Fungi; Glomeromycota; Glomeromycetes; Paraglomerales; Paraglomeraceae
Description: SSU rRNA
Rfam family: Eukaryotic small subunit ribosomal RNA
Source: RNAcentral